AGAUGCAUAAGCAAAAUGCAACCUGCUUUGUUCUUGAAGUAAACAAUUCCGUGUUUGGAUGUAAUGUGAGUAAACCAAACAAAGGUGGGGUAACUGAAGGUAGAUGCACAUAGCCAUAAAGGAGGCUGGUGACAAAUCCAGGAACAGAAGUCAGAUCUCCUCUAAGUUGCAGCCUAAUGCCAUCUAAUACUGUAACCAGAUGAAUUCCCAAGGCGUGGCUGUGAUGGUUGUUGGAAACAAGAAAGGGAAACCUUCUUGGUGCCAUUCAUUUCACUGAGCGCUGCAAAUCUGAGCCUGAAUGGAGGUGGAGGAAGACUCCUGCAGAGAACUGUGAACAGCUUUUCCCGUAAGAGGGCUGUAAUGGCAUUUAUAGUGGCUUUACCAAAUGCCAGGGAAUGUGAUACAGGUUUAUGGAUUGGGAAUCAAUUGAAAGAUUGUUAAAUGGGAAAGAAUGCGACUAAUGAGAAGCCUUGGAGAGCUACAACCUAAGCACCCCUAACAUUUGCAACCAAGCCCACAUUGUAUCUCAUGAGUUAUUGGAGCCAUAUCAGGUGACUGUUAUUUUUGAUAUAAUUUACCAGUCCCAGUAAGCUCCCUCAGCUGGACUGGGAAAAUACAUUCCUUUAUUAAUGUUAGUCCAGGGGACUGAAGUGAGUUUUGAGUAGGGAAACAUUUAAUUUAUGGGAUCAGCUAUCGAGUUCAGAGUGAAAAAAAAGGACAAUGUGAUGGAUUAGGAACUUUCUCCCCCACUCUUGGAAUUCACCAGACUAGCUCAGGUUGCUUGGAAGUAAGAUGAAGCUGUAUUUACAAGCAUAUAUGCACAAUACAUUUAAAACUAUUUACAGUUAUAUACAAAGUAGAACUAAUGCAGAAAUCCAAACUCUCUCUCAGACAAUGGAAACUGCCCAGAAGGGGCUCAAAGCUACCCCCUCUUUCUUCCUCUGCUUUUCCCAGACAGACAAACAAAAACAACCAUCGAAGCUUAAGUUGUUAUUGGCUAGCUAAGAUUAUUGGAAAGAUACUAGAGUGGAGUGAGGAGGAAGGGAAUAGGAACAGUGUUGCAGAACUGUUGACAUUUUGGCUUUGUAUCCCUCUCAGCAAACCAAAGAACGAUACAGACCUCAUCAUUAUUUUCUUUUUACUACCAAUGAUCUAAUUUCUCUCAUUAAAAUAUUCCAGUUAUCUCCAAACCAGCACAAAUGAUGUGGAUUUGUAGCUGGUAGGUGGUACCUGUUUUAAACAAUGCAGCUCGAAAGAGAAUGUGCUUUUACCUGGAAUCUGUUAUUUGCAACAUAAAGGCUUAAAGUGUCAUCUGUAUUCAAUAACACAGGAUGUUAUUUAUUAUAAAUAACUAAUAUGAU
This is a long non-coding RNA of Pogoniulus pusillus (Red-fronted tinkerbird), 1361 nucleotides long. RefSeq lists it as uncharacterized. The record is from RefSeq and is a predicted model, not a curated record. NCBI's taxonomy places the organism in Eukaryota, Metazoa, Chordata, Aves, Piciformes, Lybiidae. The transcript has 3 exons.